GGAAUCCACGGAAUCCUCCUGGCUUUAUGGGGAAGGCCGGUUCCAGAUAAAAGAUGCCCCCUUGCCAGCCUCCCGUGCAACCAGGGUGGCCAGCAAAGUAAAGGAAGAUGGUGCAAAGUGCGUGCAAGAACUCCUUUAAAGGGUGUCACGGGCAAGAAACAGAAAGAACACAGAAUAUGAAACUGAUCACAGUCACAAAGCAGUUCUGGAGUCAGAACUCGAGUUUUCAGAUUCUCCCUGGGGAUCGCCUGUGGAUGCUGGCCCCUAAGGCCACCGCGAGCAAUGACCAGUUCGUGCACGCCCCCCAGAAUGCUGGAGGUGUGGGCGGAAGUCCACACUGGGCCAGUUAGGUGACAAUUUGCCCAAGGUCACAGCAGCCAGUCCCGGGGCAGGGACCCAGACCUGAGUUUCCGGGAAUAGCUGUAUGGCAAGAAUAAGGUUUUUCCCCAGCCUUCCGUCCCCCAGCCUGUCACGCCGGGUCACUAACUGCAGGAUGAGGAGCCCCGAGGCGGGGCCGGGGAGCCCUGACGCGUAGGAGACUCUGGACAAAUCAAAGCGGCUCUGUGCCCAGGCGGCUUCGGGGAAACCGGGGACGUGGCCUGCUCUGCACUUCCAGGCCUAGGACCCCAGCAGGUCCCGACCCAGCAGAGACGCGGAGGCCCGUGGGAGCCCCGUUACCUGAGAGCGCCGCGUCCUCCCCGCGCACAGUGCCCGCGGGCAGCAGCCAGAGCAGCAGCCACCACAUCCCUGGCGCGGCGGCGGCCACCACACCGCCCGGCUCGGCUGGACGCCUUCCCGGCGGCCGCCAGGUGGCGGCGGAAAUGGAGCGGCGCGCGCGGGAAGACCCCGAGGAGCCGUCCGCGGGCGGGGGCGGGGCCGGUCCGCGUGCCCGCCCCCUCGCGGCCUCGCCCCGCCUACUUGCAGCCUAUCCCCGCCCCCUCGCACUCGGGCCGCCUCCCGGAGGCGCCCCGCCCCUCACGUAUCGCCCCGCCCACCGCCCAGCCGACUCCUCUUCCUGGGGAAUCUCCCUGUCCUCCGCCAGGCUCCGCCCCACCCGGGUGGUGGCUGUGUGGUUCAAGGCGGGCUUGGGGGAGAAGGGUGCACCUGUGAGACCGUUCUGACACUCGCGUGCUACCGAGACCCAUGGGUUUGGGUGGGGCUUCAGUGAGUGACAGCCAGGAAGGCGAGGCCGUUCUGCAGGAAACCACUGUUUUAUCAAUAAAAGCCAGUGCCUUUGUUUCACAUAUUUCAUCCCCCUCUUUGGUAACAAUAACAAGCAGGAAAGUGGGUUGCUUAAAAUACAAGGCUUGUAGGGGUAAACUCAUAAGUAAACAUUUCAAAGGACAAAGCAGCUGGAAAAUGUUCCUUCACUAACGUAAUAGGUCUCAAAAUUAGAAUGAAUUAAGAAUAUAUAAAGAUUUAAUUAGAUUGAAUUAAAAAUAUAUAAAU
Molecule: long non-coding RNA, 1449 nt
Organism: Cavia porcellus (domestic guinea pig)
Lineage: Eukaryota; Metazoa; Chordata; Mammalia; Rodentia; Caviidae
Exons: 2
Source: RefSeq, a predicted model, not a curated record